Anolis carolinensis (green anole) is the source of this 6363-nucleotide long non-coding RNA. RefSeq lists it as uncharacterized. The record is from RefSeq and is a predicted model, not a curated record. Lineage: Eukaryota; Metazoa; Chordata; Lepidosauria; Squamata; Anolidae. The transcript is spliced from 3 exons.
CAGGAGGAGCCAGCCAGCGAGUGAGCGGAGAGGCAGGGAGACACCCACUCGCCGCCGCCGCCGCCGCCUCCUCCGAGAGGGAGAGGCAGUCCCCUUGGUGGCCGCAAGGGGGCACCGCAGGCGCCGAGCAGGGACUUCGGGGUGAAAAGAGAUACAAGUUUCACUCCGGAGUAACGAGAGACUUCGGAGUCACCCUCCACCCAGGGCCAUAGCCAGAAAAAAAAUGGGGGGGGGGGGGGUGUUGAAACUCUUUUUUAGCGAAUCAUGAAGAGUAGUUCCAUAACGCAGAAUAAUUUAGAAACCAGGCUCCAUCCAUACACUUCAGUGGACACUCAAGACAGAUACAUUUCAAUGGACACUCAUGGGGAUUUGGUUGACCAGUUAAAAUUCAUGAGUACUAUAAACCAAUAUUUUUUUAAAAACCUGAAAUACGGUGCGCGCGCGGGGGGGGGGGGGGGGGGUUGGACCCCUAAUCCCCCCACACCCUUGGCUACAGUCCUGCCCCCACCACAUUGAUAUAUGGCUUCUUUUAUUAACAAAGAACAUUUUAAAUACUGAGACAGACAGACGGUGCUGAUUGAUGUUUAAGGAUUGUAAUAGAUAUUUAAUGAUUUAUUUUACUUGUUUUCACUAUUUUUAAUAAUAAUGGAGCCCCUGGUGGCGCAAUGGGUUAAACCAGGGGUCCCCAAACUAAGGCCCGACAUAGGGUUGCCCUAAGUCUGAACCGACUUGAAGGCACAGAACAGCGACAAUCCUGACUUGACUAUCUCAUCAGCCAAAGGCAGGGCCAUAUUUCCCAUUGAAAUAUUGGUUCGUUUAUGUUGGUUGAAAAUUGUUCUUCAUUUUAAAUAUUGUAUUGUUCUUUCAUGGGUUUUUUUUGCACUACAAAUAAGAUAUGUGCAGUGUGCAUAGGAAUUUGUUCAUGUUUUUUGAAAACUAUAGUUGCCCCCCCCCCAAACAGUCUGUGGGAUUGUGAACUGGCCCUCUGCUUAAUAAGUUUGAGGAUCCCUGGGUUAAACUCUUGUGCCAGCAGGACUGCUGACCGAAAGUGAGCGGAGUGAGCUCCCGUCUGUUAAUUCUAGCUCCCAAUGCAGGGAUAUGAGAGAAGCCUCCUGCAGGAUGGUAAAACAUCAAACAUCUGGGCAUCCCCAAAGCAACGUCCUUGCAGAUGGCCAAUUCUCUCACACAGAAGCAACCUGCAUCAAGUCACCCCUGACACAAAAAUAAUAAUAAUAAUUAUUAUUAUUAUUAUUAUUCAUUUCUUUACUGCUUUUUCCCAUUGGUGGGAUUCAAAGUGGCGUACAAAAGUUUAAAAACACAAAUACAUAUAAAUCAGUACAUAAAAUACAUAAUCAACUAAAACAUCUAAACAUUAAAUAAAUAACCCAAUUUGAACACCCCAUAUACAACAAAUUAAUAACUUACAGCAAAUGCCAUUAGAACAUUUCCCUAAUCUCAGGCCACUGUGGUUAUUUGUAAAAAUAAGUUAUACAAACUCCUAAGACAUUCCAUUUUUCAUAAGGCCGUGUCGCAGUUGUCAGGACCAAAAAAGCAUUCAGAGGUAAAUAUGAGCAGCAGCUAUCUGGCAGUGCUUAAGUGGCUGAAGGGGAAAAGGAUUAUCUUGAGGCUGUUAGGAAUUAUGGGAGUUGAAGUCCAAAACACCUGGAGGGCCAAAGUUUCCCAUGCCUGGUCUAUACUCUAGAACACUGGUUCUCAACCUGUGGGUCCCCAGAUGUUUUGGCCCUCAACUCCCAGAAAUCCUAACAGCUGGUAAACUGGCCGGGAUUUCUGAGAGUUGUAGGCCAAAACACCUGGGGACACACAGGUUGAGAACCACUGUUCUAGAAUUACACUGUAAAGUUCAUGCAUUUUGGCACCGCUUUAAUUGUUUGAUGAGGCACCAGCAUUAUUGGAGGAUAAAGCUAUAGGCCUUGUAAAAUGACAGCUCCCAGGAUUGCAUAGCAAUGAGCCAUGGCAGUGAAAGUGGUAUCAAACUACAUUUAUUCUACAGUGUAGGUGCACCCACUGUUUGAUGUUCCUUAAACUUUCUUGGCUCAACUCUAUGGAAGCAUGUGAGUUGUAGUUUUACAGGAUCUUCCUUCUCUGCCAAAGAGUAUCUGUGCACCAACAAACUAUAACUCCCAUGAUUUCAUUACACUUGGCCAAAUAGGUUUAAAUAGUGUCAAACUGCAAUAAUUAGACAAUGUAAAUGCACCCUAAACUAGUUAAAAUGUUGUUUAUUCAUUCAGUGGCUUCUGACUCUUCAUGACCUCAUGGACCAGCCUGUGUGCAGAAGUACUCAGAUGUUUCAAAAUAAAGCCAUGUUCUAUUGGUAUAAGAUCAUCAUCAUUUGAUUUUUUUUAAUUUUGUGUCAGAAGCGAAUUGAGAAUAUACUGCAAGUCGAGAAUUGGGUAUCUACAGAGACGUUGCCCAGGGGACACCCGGAUAUGUUACCAUCCCGUGGGAGGUUUCUCUCAUGUCCCCUCAUGGGAAGCUGGAACUGACAGAUAGGAGCUCACCCCAUCUCGCUGAUUCAAACCGCCGACCUUCAGAUCUUCAGGUCAGCAGUUCAGCUGGCACAAGGGUUUAACUCAUUGUGCCACCGCAGCUCCCUGGAAUUAAAAUGAUUACAAUAAACUGUUUUUAAUACAUAGAAAAAAUUAUAUUAAAACAGAAUUAAACUAUAAGCAAUAUGAAGACACUUUAUAACAUUCAUUUUAAAAAUAGGGGGAUUUAAACAGUUCAUGUAAAAUAACAUUGCAUCCGAGGGUUGUUGUGUUUUCAGGGCUGUUUGGCCAUGUUCCAGAAGUAUUAUCUCCUGAUUUUUCACCCACAUCUAUGGCAGACAUCCUCAGAGGCUGUGAGGUAUAAUGGCAUCCUCUCAUACUGUAGUUGCUAUUGUUUACUUUCAAGUGAUUUCAGAAUUAUGGUGGCCCUAAGGCAAAACUUUCACAAGAUUUUCUUGGCAAGAUUUUUUCAGGAGAGGGGGGGUGUCUUUCAGUUUCUCUGAGGCUGAGAACAUGUGUCUUGCCCAGGGACUUACAACUUUUCCUUUAAACAUUCCAAAAGCCUGUCUGAAUGUAAAAAAGGUCUGCUUGUCCACAGAAGGAGACCAAAGUGGGAAGAAAUUGCCCAAUCUAGGGGCAGCCACCCACUUAUAAAGGUGAAUGGGAUUAGGGGGAAAGCCCUCCCUUGUGAAUGUCUGGAGCAGACAGGUUCAAGAAUUCACAUUUGAUUCAAUGUAUUCAUAUAACCAUUUAACUUCCCCUUCUAGUAUUUAUAUCCCAUUUAGUGUGGCUAACUGCAUUUUUUUGGGGGGGGGGGGGAACACUUGUGAGAAAAUAAUAUUACAAAACCAGUCAAUAAAAAUGGAUUAAUAAUACAACAUAACAGAACUGUUAAUAAAACUCCCCAAGCAAAUGCCAGCCCGAAGGGGAAGGUCAUAAAAUGAAACAAUUAAAGAGGACACCAGCCAGCCUUUCUGAGAAAAAAAAAAGUUGGGUUCUAGUGCGACCUCUACAAAGGGCCAUAUUUUAAGUGGACAUCAAACCAGAAAGAAAUAAACAUAGGUUACAAGAUGAACUUUGUGACACAGUGUGUAAUGUAUUCAUAUAAAACUUAAAUCCUGCCCUUCUUGUAUUUAUAUCCCAUUUAAGGUGGCUAACAGCAUUUUAAAAACAAACACUUAUAAGGGAGGUAAUAAAAUUACAAAACUGGUCAAUAAAAAUAGAUUAAUAACAUAAUAUAAUAGAACCAAUAAUAAAACUCGCAUCCUUCAUACUAUCACCCAGGGCAGCAACUCAGUUUUCUUACUCCAUGUACUACCAUGUUUCCCCCAAAAUAAGAGAGUGUCUUAUAUUAAUUUUUACUCCCAAAGAUGUGCUAGGUCUUAUUUUCAGGGGAUGUCUUAUUUUUCCAUGAAGAAGAAUUCACAUUUAUUGUUGAACAAAAAAAUGAACAUUUAUUAUAUACUGUACAGUAGUUGUCAUCACAAACCAGCAUUACCAGACAAACUGUGAAUCCUAUCAAGAAUUUCUUGUUACUACUAUUAUUUCCAUGUACAACACUCUAUGGUAUGUACAUUUACCGAUCCUGCAAGCUCUGGUGUUCUGUUUGGCGGGCAUGCUUCCAAACAAAAACUUUGCUAGGUCUUACUUUUGGGGGAGGCCUUAUAUUUAGCAAUUCAGCAAAACCUCUACUAGAUCUUAUUUUCUGGGGAUGUCUUAUUUUAGGGAAACAGGGUAGCACUAGGUGUCAGAGUAAAAUAUUGUCUACAAAAGGGGUUUUCAGCUAUAUUCCUACUUUGGCUUGCUUUGGGGAUACUUUAAGGUUUUCUGGAAAAUCCAGACUGCCCCAGGGCUUUGGGGAUAAUCUGGAUAGCUGGAUUGGUCCAAUUUGGCCCAAUCCACUGUCCAGAUAGGAUACUACCAUGAUCAGCCUUUCCCUGUGUUGGUCAGUGCAGGGAAAGGGAAUGGAUCCUGCCCAUGUCGUUGCUUCCACUACUCCGCUUGAAUGCUGGGCCCUUGAAGCUAUCUUUUCUGAUGUCAGAAUGGGACACCCAUGAUGACCAGGAGCUUCCAUGGCUGGCUAGGUAUUCUACAAUUGGAGCCGCUGAUGGUGCAGCGGAUUAAACCACUGAACUGCUGAACUUGCUGACCGAAAGAUCGGCUGUUCAAAUCCGGGGAACGGGGUGAGUUUCCACUGUUAGCCCCAGCUUCUGCCAACCUAGCAGUUCGAAAACAUGAAAAUGUGAGUAGAUCAAUAGGUACCACUCUGGCGAGAAAGUAACGGCCCUUAAUGCAGUCAUGCCAACCACAUGAUCUUGGACAACACCAGCUCUUGGGCUUAGAAAUGGAGAUGAGCACCAACUCCCAGAGCUGGAUAUAACUAGACUCAAUGUCAAGGGGAAACCUUUACCUGUGGGUGAUGUUAUCAUGUAUUGCUUUUUUAUUGUUAUGUGUCUUCAAGUUGACCCUUACUUGUGUUGACCCUAGCUUAAGAUUUUCCUGACAAAGAGUUAUUCAAAGGUGGUUUGCCAUUACCUUCCCCUUAGACUGAGAGAGUAUGACUUGCAAGGUCACCCAAUGGUUUUCCAUGAACAGUGAUUCAAAUCCUGGUCUCUCAGAGUUCUCUAGUCAAACAUUCAGAUCACAAACCACCCUGCUGGCUCUAUGUUAUUAAUACAUAUAUCUGUCUCAAUUUGUAAGCACUCUUGGAAUUCUGAUGCAUUGAAAUAGAAACAUCUAUCAAGCAACUCCAAGAUCUGUGAAGCACUUUGCAGAUUGCCAAUGCAAUAUUGAUGACCAACAGUAAAGGGAUGCCAAAAUGUUACCCUGGAAAGCACGUUGCAAUUGAACUUUCUGGAAUCUGUUCCCCAUAAAGAGACAAUAGCAUGGAUCCGAUAUCAGUUUCCAUCUUAAAAAGACUCAUUGAAUCAAUGAGAUUUAUAACAUAAAUCAAGCCAGAAGAAUAGCAACAAUCGACGACUAACUAUUGUAAGCUUAUGGGGAAAGAUGACUGGAGCUGCAGUUCAAAACAUCUGGAGAAGCAACGGUUUACUAUCCGUGGGCGGAAAGAAAAAGUGAAAUCCAAUUUCUCCGAUGUAUAUAUUUGUUACCUCUAUCCAUUGCAACUUGCUGACCAAAACAGUAGCCUCCUUAGGGGAAACAUGCAUUCCCCAGAACCAAAUUUAAUUGUUCAGACAAGCACCUGGAAAAACAUGUAAUGCUUGUUUGGCUCACAUUGUAACAUUUCCCCUUGAAAUGUUUAUCUUCCCAACUAAAUGUACAUAGUUUCAUAUUUAUAACAUUUAAGUGAUAUAUAAUUCACAUAGGAACUGACAAAAUAGUUUUCUCUUAUGCAUAUUCUUAUUGCCUUUUGUUGGAAGGUCAGCAGGUAAAAGAGAUGCAGACUAUUUGGCCUGAAAUGGCCAAAGAAAAAUUAGAAACAAUAUAUGAGAAUGUGUGUUUGUAAAUGUUUCUUCCUUUCUCGCAUUAGUUUCUUUAGUGAAUUAUGCCUUCUGAACAUCAGUAAUCUUGCUCUCUUUUCUCAGUCUCCAGCCUAGGCCUCCUCUAGAUGUUUUGGACUAUCCCCAUGGUAACUGGGGCUAAUGGGAAUUUAAUUCAAAACCUCUGGAGGAAGAUGGGUUUAACUUGUUAGAGGUUGUAGAUAUAAAUAAAUAGAAGUUUUACCACAGUUUCUGAACCAAGAUAUACCCUGCGGUAUAAUAAAGUGUCACUCAGGCUUGUGUAAGAAGUAACAGUAUCUUUACUUCAGUUUAAAAGAUCAAUCAGGACAAUAAUGUAUAUAGCAGUCUUUCUGAAUUCACACAGAGAACACAGAAAUAAACAGUCUUUAAACAUG